RNAcentral lists this ribosomal RNA (456 nucleotides) under uncultured Sphingobacteriales bacterium. RNAcentral's name for it is "bacterial SSU rRNA". It matches the Rfam family "Bacterial small subunit ribosomal RNA", at positions 924 to 1382 of the family's 1533-position model. The record is from RNAcentral. Lineage: Bacteria; Pseudomonadati; Bacteroidota; Sphingobacteriia; Sphingobacteriales.
CACAAGCGAGGAGCAUGUGGUUAAUUCGAUGAUACGCGAGGAACCUUACCUGGGCUCGAACGUAAGAUGACUGUAGGUGAAAGCUUACAUCUCUUCGGAGCAUUUUACGAGGUGCUGCAUGGUUGUCGUCAGCUCGUGCCGUGAGGUGUCGGGUUAAGUCCCAUAACGAGCGCAACCCCUACCUUUAGUUGCCAUCAGGUUAAGCUGGGGACUCUAAAGGAACUGCCUACGCAAGUAGUGAGGAAGGCGGGGAUGACGUCAAAUCAGCACGGCCCUUACGUCCAGGGCUACACACGUGCUACAAUGGCCGAUACAGAGGGCAGCUACCUGGUGACAGGAUGCAAAUCUCCAAAGUCGGUCUCAGUUCGGAUCGGAGUCUGCAACCCGACUCCGUGAAGUUGGAUUCGCUAGUAAUCGCGCAUCAGCCAUGGCGCGGUGAAUACGUUCCCGGGCCUU